Etheostoma cragini (Arkansas darter) is the source of this 234-nucleotide long non-coding RNA. RefSeq lists it as uncharacterized. Lineage: Eukaryota; Metazoa; Chordata; Actinopteri; Perciformes; Percidae. The transcript is spliced from 3 exons. The record is from RefSeq and is a predicted model, not a curated record.
UUCACCUACCAAUCAUAUGAGAGGAAUGCAAGUACUCUGGCCUGGUGCUGGGUUUCUGGGGUAUGACUAUUAAGAAAAAUAAAUACAUUAAAAGGUCAACAUGGUAUUUGUUUUUGACGCGCUGGGUUAAACCAAUCAACUUCCACCUACCAAUGAAACGAGUUCUAGCCAAUCAGAUGCAAAGUAGGGCAGGUCCUUGCCAAAAAGCGAGAGUGCGGUUCACUGAGCAGUUUG